UCCCCGUUGCCGGGGCAGUCUGAUUAGAAAAAUACAACUAAUCACAAGGGUUGCGCUCGUUGAUGGACUUAACCAAACAUCUCACGACACGAGCUGACGACGGCCAUGCAACACCUGUCACCGAGCUCAAUAAAGCACUCUCUGCUUUCACAGAAAUUCUCGGGAUGUCAAACCCUGGUAAGGUUCUUCGGUUAUCAUCGAAUUAAAGAACAUGCUCCACCGCUUGUGCGGGUCCCCGUCAAUUCCUUUAUGUUUUAGUCUUGCGACCGUACUCCACAGGCGGGAUACUUAACGCGUUAGCUUCGCUACUGAAGGGGUCGAUACCUCCAACAGCUAGUAUCCAUCGUUUACGGCGUGGACUAC
RNAcentral lists this unclassified non-coding RNA (363 nucleotides) under uncultured bacterium. Its description in RNAcentral is "contains 16S-23S intergenic spacer region". The record is from RNAcentral.